GGCUCUGGUGUAGGCCGGUGGCUACAGCUCCAAUUAGACCCCUAGCCUAGGAACCUCCAUAUGCUGUGGGAGAGGCCCUAGAAAAAGCAAAAAAAAAAAAAAAAAAAAAAAAAAAAAAAAAGGUAACACUCCCUUUUCAGAGGCACUCCAGGUCCAGUGAAGAGACAACUCUGCAGGGCCCUCACAUCUCCAAAGCUCAUCAUGGCUGUGACCCCAUCGUAGCUUAUGGUCUUCCUCCACCCAUUCCUGUACUCUUCCCAUUGUCAUAAAUGUUGAUCCUAAGGGUACUACCCGGUAAACUUCGUGUACAGAGAUCUCUGUCUCAGAAGCCAGAAAUCAUAGUGUGCAAUAAUUAGUGCUAGAAGUGAUCCAAGGAAGCGGACGGGAUCACCUAUUAGCAGCUGGCAGAGCCCUGAUCUAUCUUGGCGUGCAACGACAGUGAAAUUUAUUAAAACUUUUAGCCAUGGGCAUGUAGGAAUGUGCUGAUGGAAAUAAUGUAUCAGAUUUUUAAGAAGCAUAUCAAAAUAAUAAUUAUAAAGGCAAAAUAGAUGGAUUACUAUAUUAAGGAAAAUUGAUUAAUAGAGGAAAAAAUUGGAAGACUGAACAAUUAAAUUCUAAGAAGUCCUCCUUGACAGUAUGUAGACUCCAAUCUUGCACAGACAGGGAACAGGAAAAUCAGAUUUAAUAAUAAAAGCAGAAGGUUAAGAAAGUUGAAUUUUUAUCCCCAACAGGUUUGUUGUAUUAGUAGGAUUUCCAUGUAAAAUAGAGAGAGCUGUGGAAUUAAGUAAUACAAUAUGAUAUCUCUGUUAGCAAAAUAGAGGUAUUGAGAGUAUUUCUCAAUCUAUGCAAAGGGAAUAAAAUAAGGAUUGAUGGUCAGAAUCUAAAAGUAGCCAUCCCAGGAAAAAGUUGCAACAUCUUAGCUAAUACCUGAAUUCAAGCCAAUUUCCAAACUCAGAACCCAUGUACUGAAGCUGCAAAUUUCCAGAAGAGCCUUGCAACACUAUGGCAAGGAUAUGUGGCCAUUAAUCCCCAUUCCUUCUUCAAAGGAACCUAGUGCCAUUGACUUCAGGAACUAUAUGAUAGCAAAAGCAGAAUGCUCAAAAGAUAUUGAAAACUGUCAUACUCAAGGGAAACUGGCAUUGACAACUAAGGACCCAAAAUUUCAUCAAGCCCUUUUGAUAGAGUGGGGUUUAUGGAGGCCAGGUAAUAAAUGGAAUCUUGGCCAAGUGUGGCUCAUGACUUCAUCUUAGUAAGGCCAGGUGAACAAGAUGUGGAAGGAAGUUGGAAUCCUUGGGGAGACAAGUACACUGCAGAGGAUAUGAAGUGAUCCCUAUAAAUAUUUGGAGGCUGGAGUUUCUGCUGUGGCACAGUGAGUUAAUGAUCUGGCUUGUCUCUGUGUAGGUGCCAUUUCAGUUCCGUGUAGGGUCACAGCUCCGACUCAGAAUCAAUCCCUGGCCCAGAAACUUCCAUGUGCCACACAGUGGCCCAAAAAGAAAAAAAUAAAAUAAAAA
This 1511-nucleotide long non-coding RNA is filed under the name Sus scrofa (pig). RNAcentral describes it as "lncRNA (ENSSSCG00005001187.1)". The record is from RNAcentral. Lineage: Eukaryota; Metazoa; Chordata; Mammalia; Artiodactyla; Suidae.